GCACUAUACCUCCCAGGGGAACCUGGCCCUUAAUUCGAUGAUCCACGAAUCUCUUACCUUUCCUUGUUUAAGCAUGCCCUGAUUGGGGCAUGUUUCUAUCAGUUUGCAUACCGCCGUUUUCAGCUUGUAUCGCGAGAUAAAAGAAACAGGCUAAUCAGCACUGUGAGCAUGGCCUGCUGGUGACAGGCAGGUGAUGGCACUGCUAGGAAUUCAGGUAAACGUGUAGCCAAUGGAAAGGGGGCGCUGGGUUACAAUUGAGGUUUGAAGUGGAUGGCAGCCCGAAGGGGCUGUUUGAAAGCGUACUUGGAAGUAAUGGCUUUGGGCAAUGAAGCCGUGAAUGGUGCUCUGGUGUGUGU
This 356-nucleotide ribosomal RNA is filed under the name Nipponacmea fuscoviridis. RNAcentral's name for it is "partial 12S ribosomal RNA". RNAcentral also lists the same sequence under 1 other name. The record is from RNAcentral. Lineage: Eukaryota; Metazoa; Mollusca; Gastropoda; Lottiidae.